This 57-nucleotide transfer RNA is filed under the name Bos taurus (domestic cattle). It matches the Rfam family "tRNA", at positions 8 to 63 of the family's 71-position model. From Rfam's summary of the family: Transfer RNA (tRNA) molecules are approximately 80 nucleotides in length. Their secondary structure includes four short double-helical elements and three loops (D, anti-codon, and T loops). Further hydrogen bonds mediate the characteristic L-shaped molecular structure. tRNAs have two regions of fundamental functional importance: the anti-codon, which is responsible for specific mRNA codon recognition, and the 3' end, to which the tRNAs corresponding amino acid is attached (by aminoacyl-tRNA synthetases). tRNAs cope with the degeneracy of the genetic code in two manners: having more than one tRNA (with a specific anti-codon) for a particular amino acid; and 'wobble' base-pairing, i.e. permitting non-standard base-pairing at the 3rd anti-codon position. The record is from Rfam by way of RNAcentral. RNAcentral also lists the same sequence under 5 other names. Lineage: Eukaryota; Metazoa; Chordata; Mammalia; Artiodactyla; Bovidae.
UGGCUCAGAGGUUAAAGCGUCUGCCUGCAAUGCAGGAGACCCAGGUUUGAUCCCUGG